GGGGAACGAAUUGUGGGAUUCUGGGUAGGCCAUCUUAUCCCCAUUUAUAAGUUGUGCAAGUGGCAUUAGGUUAGUGGUUUUCAAACUAAGUCCUUAGACCAGAGGUCUCUCAUGGAAAAAUCAGUCUUGGCAGAGUCCUUCGAUAAUCAUCUCUAAUAUCAUACGUCAGCCUUCCUGUCUCCACAACCUGAGCAGAGGUUGGCAGCAGCUGUCGCAGUGUUCCACCGAAAUGCUGCCACUUUCUGAUGAUCCAGUUGAGUCUUCAGUUUCCUUGGCAACCCAAAAGACUUUACACGGUCACCUCAAUCUUCUUUGGGUGAUGUUCAACUAAAUAAAUAUCUCCUGAAGCUAAUUGUUAAGAAGUGACAAAAAUCUCUGCUGUGCUCACCAUCUAGUUCUUAAGACAGGAUGCAAAUGCCGCUUAAGACAAUUCUUUCCAAGCAGAUGAAUCAAUAAAAUAUGAAGACAAAAGUGCUCCAUCUUCUGGCUGAGGAUGAAUGUUCACCAGCAGAUAUUCCCAAUUCUAAAAGGAAGCACUUCAUCUCAGGGACCAGAUCCUGGAGAGAAUUAUUGAUGAAUCCCUCCAAUACCAUCAAGAAUAAAACAGCCUUCUCCUGGGC
Long non-coding RNA from Zalophus californianus (California sea lion), 620 nucleotides. RefSeq lists it as uncharacterized. The record is from RefSeq and is a predicted model, not a curated record. The transcript is spliced from 4 exons. NCBI's taxonomy places the organism in Eukaryota, Metazoa, Chordata, Mammalia, Carnivora, Otariidae.